GACGAACGCUGGCGGCGUGCUUAACACAUGCAAGUCGAGCGGUAAGGCCCUUUCGGGGGUACACGAGCGGCGAACGGGUGAGUAACACGUGGGUGACCUGCCCUUAGCUCUGGGAUAAGCCUGGGAAACUGGGUCUAAUACCGGAUAUGACCUCAUGACGCAUGUUGUGGGGUGGAAAGCCUUGUGCGGCUAGGGGAUGGGGCCCGCGGCCUAUCAGCUUGUUGGUGGGGUGAUGGCCUACCAAGGCGACGACGGGUAGCCGGCCUGAGAGGGCGACCGGCCACACUGGGGACUGAGACACGGCCCAGACUCCUACGGGAGGCAGCAGUGGGGAAUCUUGCGCAAUGGGCGAAAGCCUGACGCAGCGACGCCGCGUGAGGGAUGACGGCCU
RNAcentral lists this ribosomal RNA (391 nucleotides) under uncultured bacterium. Its description in RNAcentral is "bacterial SSU rRNA". It matches the Rfam family "Bacterial small subunit ribosomal RNA", at positions 28 to 417 of the family's 1533-position model. The record is from RNAcentral.